This 2335-nucleotide ribosomal RNA is filed under the name human gut metagenome. Its description in RNAcentral is "bacterial LSU rRNA". It matches the Rfam family "Bacterial large subunit ribosomal RNA", at positions 502 to 2829 of the family's 2925-position model. The record is from RNAcentral.
CGUGAGGGAAAGGUGAAAAGAACCCCGGGAGGGGAGUGAAAUAGUACCUGAAACCGUAUGUCUACAAGCAGUCGAAGCGAAAGCGACGGCGUGCCUAUUGAAGAAUGAACCAACGAGUUAUCUGCACUAGCGAGGUUAAGUGGAAGACACGGAGCCGUAGCGAAAGCGAGUCUUAAGAGGGCGCAAGUUAGUGUAGGUAGACCCGAAACCGCAGUGAUCUACCCAUGUCCAGGUUGAAGCGCAGGUAAAAUUGCGUGGAGGACCGAACCGGUGAGCGUUGAAAAGCUUUCGGAUGAGAUGUGGGUAGGGGUGAAAUUCCAAUCGAACGCGGAGAUAGCUGGUUCUCCCCGAAAUAGCUUUAGGGCUAGCCUGAGGUAGUAAGUAUAGGCGGUAGAGCACUGAUCGGGCUAGGGGCCGUAAAGGUUACCGAACCCUGUCAAACUCCGAAUGGAUAUACUGUAGAGCCUUGGAGUCAGACUACGAGUGAUAAGAUCCGUGGUCAAAAGGGAAACAGCCCAGACCACCAGCUAAGGUCCCCAAUGUCGUACUAAGUGGAAAAGGAUGUGGGGUUUCAUAAACAACCAGGAUGUUGGCUCAGAAGCAGCCACCAUUUAAAGAGUGCGUAAUAGCUCACUGGUCGAGAGACCCUGCGCCGAAGAUUCCCGGGGCUAAAGUACGAAACCGAAGCUGUGGCUGUAUACGUAAAGUAUACGGGGUAGGGGAGCGUUCCCAUAGGGUAGAAGUCGAACUGGAAGGUUCGGUGGACUUGUGGGAAGUGAGAAUGUUGGUAUGAGUAGCGAAAAGAAAGGUGAGAAUCCUUUCCACCGAAAGCAUAAGGAUUCCUGAGCAACGAUCGUCGUCUCAGGGUAAGUCGGGACCUAAUCCGAGGCAGAGAGCGUAGGAGAUGGACAACUGGUUGAUAUUCCAGUACCGGUAGUAAUUGUUUGAGCAAUGGAGUGACACAGAAGGGCAGGCAAGCAUGCGAAUGGAAGAGCAUGUGUAAGCGUGUAGGGUGGUGCAUAGGCAAAUCCGUGCACUGAAAGCCUGAGGCGUGAUGCGGAGUGAGCAGAGAUGCGAGCGAAGUUGUUGACCCCACACUGUCGAGAAAAGCUUCUAGUGAGAGAGCUACCGCCCGUACCGUAAACCGACACAGGUAUGCGGGGAGAGAAUCCUAAGGUGCGCGGGAGAACCCUCGUUAAGGAACUCGGCAAAAUGUACCCGUAACUUCGGGAUAAGGGUAGCCACUGUUGUGAAGUCCCAUGCGGAUGGAGCAUAGAGUGGUCGCAGAGAAGAGGCCCAAGCGACUGUUUACCAUAAACACAGGUGCCUGCUAAAGCGAAAGCUGACGUAUAGGUGCUGACACCUGCCCAGUGCCGGAAGGUUAAGGAAGGAUGUUCGGAUUAGUCCAAAGCAUUCGACUGAAGCCCCGGUGAACGGCGGCCGUAACUAUAACGGUCCUAAGGUAGCGAAAUUCCUUGUCGGGUAAGUUCCGACCCGCACGAAAGGUGUAACGAUUUGGGCACUGUCUCAACGAGGGACCCGGUGAAAUUGAAAUACCUGUGAAGAUGCAGGUUACCCGCGACUGGACAGAAAGACCCCAUGGAGCUUUACUGUAACCUGACAUUGGAUUUUGAUACAUUACGUACAGGAUAGGUGGGAGGCUUGGAAAGCUGGACGCUAGUCUGGCUGGAGCCGACGUUGGGAUACCACCCUUGAUGUAUUGAAAUUCUAACCGCGAGAGUAACGAAAUCCGGGACAGUGUCAGGCGGGCAGUUUGACUGGGGCGGUCGCCUCCGAAAGAGUAACGGAGGCGCCCAAAGGUUCCCUCAGCGCGGCCGGAAAUCGCGCGAAGAGUGUAAAGGCAGAAGGGAGCUUGACUGCGAGUCAAACACGACGAGCAGGUACGAAAGUAGGGCUUAGUGAUCCGGUGGUACCGAGUGGAAGGGCCAUCGCUCAACGGAUAAAAGCUACCCUGGGGAUAACAGGCUAAUCUCUCCCAAGAGUCCAUAUCGACGGGGAGGUUUGGCACCUCGAUGUCGGCUCAUCACAUCCUGGGGCUGAAGUCGGUCCCAAGGGUUGGGCUGUUCGCCCAUUAAAGUGGUACGUGAGCUGGGUUCAGAACGUCGUGAGACAGUUCGGUCCCUAUCCAUCGCGGGCGCAAGAGAUUUGAAGGGGGCUGCUCCUAGUACGAGAGGACCGGAGUGGACGAACCGCUGGUGUACCAAUUAUCCCGCCAGGGGUACAGUUGGGUAGCUACGUUCGGAAAGGAUAAACGCUGAAAGCAUCUAAGCGUGAAACCAGCCUUAAGAUGAGAUCUCUCAUAGAGUAAUCUAGU